Long non-coding RNA from Ictalurus punctatus (channel catfish), 1051 nucleotides. NCBI's taxonomy places the organism in Eukaryota, Metazoa, Chordata, Actinopteri, Siluriformes, Ictaluridae. The record is from Ensembl.
CAUGCUGCUAGCUGUCUUAUGAUAGGGCAGAGGUCACGGGUGGGCGGGAAUUCGUCAAGUCUAAAUGAAAGAAUGGGAAAAAUCCCCUUCUCAAUAAUAAAUAAAGAGAGAACCCCAACACUACGCCACAGGACCACUGGAAAAAGACAAUAUACAACAAAUACCAACAAAUUAAUUCUAGCGUCCGUCUGAUCUUCAUUUAAUAACGAUGAAGAACAACAAACAUCAGCAAUGAACAUUCAGGUUAAUCAUUUUAUAUCUGUAUUGAAAUGUUUGUAUUUUGUUAAGUAAUAGUCCAAAUUUCUAAUACAUUUUUUAAAUAUAAAUUUGUAUACCUAUUUAAAUACGUAUAGAUGAGCUUAACAGGGGGGGAAAAAAAAGGAUUUCCCAAAAUUGCAGUAAAACCCCCAGACAAAUGAAACACACCGUGUCCCAGACAACGUUUUGUAUUUUGUUAUACCACAUUUCUGAUUUAAUAAAUAAAUAAAUAGACGAAUAAAUAAAAUACACACAUCAUGGAGGCCUGCAGAUUUUGUCUGCAGAGGUAGAAGAACAGCAGGUUCUCCAGGGAACAUCUGGCAACCAAAAACAUCUCAUCAAAAACAUCUCAUCAAAAACAUCUAAUAAAAAACAUCUAAUAAAAACAUCUCAUCAAAAACAUCUGAUAACCAAAACAUCUAAUCAAAAAUAUCUAAUCAAGAACAUCUGACAACCAAAAACAUUUGACUGUCAUGUAUCAAGAAACUCUGGACUCCACGUCCCAUCAGCCACUGCACUGCACUAGCUGUCACAUGACCACCUGCACCUGACUCACGUUUUGUUAAUGAGCACUCGUGUGUGUGUGUGUGUGUGUGUGUGUGUGUGUGUGUGUGUGUGUGUGUGUGUUCCAUGUCUGCAGUGUUUGCGUGUCUUUCGUUGUCCUAGACUCUUGUAGUUUAUGUCUCGGUGUUUUGUGUCAUGCCGCAGUGUUAUACCACGUUGUCUUAGUGUCUUUGUCUUAUAGCACGUUUGUUUAAAUAAACGCAUUAUCUGCACUUGCUUCUGCCUCAAC